Molecule: ribosomal RNA, 1133 nt
Filed under: Salmonella enterica
Lineage: Bacteria; Pseudomonadati; Pseudomonadota; Gammaproteobacteria; Enterobacterales; Enterobacteriaceae
Also listed under: 1 other name
Description: partial 23S ribosomal RNA
Rfam family: Bacterial large subunit ribosomal RNA
Source: RNAcentral
AGACCCGAAACCCGGUGAUCUAGCCAUGGGCAGGUUGAAGGUUGGGUAACACUAACUGGAGGACCGAACCGACUAAUGUUGAAAAAUUAGCGGAUGACCUGUGGCUGGGGGUGAAAGGCCAAUCAAACCGGGAGAUAGCUGGUUCUCCCCGAAAGCUAUUUAGGUAGCGCCUCGUGAAUUCAUCUCCGGGGGUAGAGCACUGUUUCGGCUAGGGGGCCAUCCCGGCUUACCAACCCGAUGCAAACUGCGAAUACCGGAGAAUGUUAUCACGGGAGACACACGGCGGGUGCUAACGUCCGUCGUGAAGAGGGAAACAACCCAGACCGCCAGCUAAGGUCCCAAAGUCAUGGUUAAGUGGGAAACGAUGUGGGAAGGCCCAGACAGCCAGGAUGUUGGCUUAGAAGCAGCCAUCAUUUAAAGAAAGCGUAAUAGCUCACUGGUCGAGUCGGCCUGCGCGGAAGAUGUAACGGGGCUAAACCAUGCACCGAAGCUGCGGCAGCGAACGUAUCACCCAAGACAACUUUACGGAGUUGACGAUUGACGGAGCGAAGCGACGUCAAAGCGUUCAUUAAAGUCGAGUUGGCUUAGGGAUACGUUCGUUGGGUAGGGGAGCGUUCUGUAAGCCUGUGAAGGUGGCCUGUGAGGGUUGCUGGAGGUAUCAGAAGUGCGAAUGCUGACAUAAGUAACGAUAAAGCGGGUGAAAAGCCCGCUCGCCGGAAGACCAAGGGUUCCUGUCCAACGUUAAUCGGGGCAGGGUGAGUCGACCCCUAAGGCGAGGCCGAAAGGCGUAGUCGAUGGGAAACGGGUUAAUAUUCCCGUACUUGGUGUUACUGCGAAGGGGGGACGGAGAAGGCUAUGUUGGCCGGGCGACGGUUGUCCCGGUUUAAGCGUGUAGGUGUGUGUUCCAGGUAAAUCCGGUUCACUUUAACACUGAGGCGUGAUGACGAGGCACUACGGUGCUGAAGCAACAAAUGCCCUGCUUCCAGGAAAAGCCUCUAAGCAUCAGGUAACAUCAAAUCGUACCCCAAACCGACACAGGUGGUCAGGUAGAGAAUACCAAGGCGCUUGAGAGAACUCGGGUGAAGGAACUAGGCAAAAUGGUGCCGUAACUUCGGGAGAAGGCACGCUGACAC